RNAcentral lists this ribosomal RNA (406 nucleotides) under uncultured bacterium. RNAcentral describes it as "partial 16S ribosomal RNA". It matches the Rfam family "Bacterial small subunit ribosomal RNA", at positions 30 to 526 of the family's 1533-position model. The record is from RNAcentral.
AUUGAACGCUGGCGGCAGGCCUAACACAUGCAAGUCGAACGAGUGGCGGACGGGUGAGAAAUGUCUGGGAAACUGCCUGAUGGAGGGGGAUAACUACUGGAAACGGUAGCUAAUACCGCAUACCAUAAGAUGUGCCCAGAUGGGAUUAGCUUGUUGGUGGGGUAACGGCUCACCAAGGCGACGAUCCCUAGCUGGUCUGAGAGGAUGACCAGCCACACUGGAACUGAGACACGGUCCAGACUCCUACGGGAGGCAGCAGGGUGGAAUAUUGCACAAUGGGCGCAAGCCUUAUGCAGCCAUGGCGCGUUUAUGAAGGAGGUCUUCGGAUUGUAAAGCACUUUAAGUUGGGAGGCGUUACCAACAGAAUAAGCACCGGCUAACUUCGUGCGAGCAGCCGCGGUAAUUC